Molecule: non-coding RNA, 112 nt
Filed under: Podarcis lilfordi (Lilford's wall lizard)
Lineage: Eukaryota; Metazoa; Chordata; Lepidosauria; Squamata; Lacertidae
Source: RNAcentral
CAGAAAUAUAAAAGGAAAGUAGGUUGGCGCCCCUCUUCAUAAGUCUGGAAAAGGUUUAGGGGCUCAUAUAAUAAGGCAUUGCCACUUACUGUAUGGCAUCUAACCAUUUUAU